AGCCCGGUGGUGUAGCGGUCAAGCAUAGCAGGCUCUGGACCUGCUGACGGGAGUUCGAAUCUCCCCCGGGCUACCA
This 76-nucleotide transfer RNA is filed under the name Candidatus Bathyarchaeota archaeon. RNAcentral's name for it is "tRNA-Gln". It matches the Rfam family "tRNA". From Rfam's summary of the family: Transfer RNA (tRNA) molecules are approximately 80 nucleotides in length. The record is from RNAcentral. Lineage: Archaea; Thermoproteati; Candidatus Bathyarchaeota. RNAcentral also lists the same sequence under 1 other name.